AUGGCUAAGGUCAAAUGGCACGGGCAGCAGGAAGGUUUUUGGCUUUCCUCUGUCUACGGACCUGCUGACGAUGCAAGAAAGGAGGCCUUCCUCCUCGAGCUCUCCCGUACUGCACCACCAACCCCAGAGCCAUGGCUGAUAAAUGGGGAUUUCAACCUCAUCUAUGAAGCCCGCGACAAGAACAAUCUAAACCUCAACCGACGACUAAUGGGUAGAUUUAGAUCGGCGAUCGACCACGCGAGACUGAAGGAAAUAAAAUGCAAAAACAGACGCUACACUUGGAGCAAUGAACGUGAUGAUCCAACUCUUGUUAGUAUAGACAAGUUUUUCUGCAACCAAGCAUGGGAGUCAGUCUUCCCCUCCUUCUCGCUAGUAGCUGCAUCCACUGCAACUUCAGACCACUGCCCCCUGAUUUUAGCCGACGCCAGUGCC
This 432-nucleotide ribosomal RNA is filed under the name Triticum aestivum (bread wheat). Its description in RNAcentral is "partial small subunit ribosomal RNA". Lineage: Eukaryota; Viridiplantae; Streptophyta; Magnoliopsida; Poales; Poaceae. The record is from RNAcentral.